Molecule: long non-coding RNA, 362 nt
Filed under: Olea europaea (common olive)
Lineage: Eukaryota; Viridiplantae; Streptophyta; Magnoliopsida; Lamiales; Oleaceae
Description: long non-coding RNA (OEUR_LNC003949)
Source: RNAcentral
CGACAUCUUUCGAGGCAAUUCUUAAGCCCUCGCUUAUUUAGGCUGGCAGGCAUAUUUUCUGAGGCAGUUCGUAAGUAUUUACAUAUGGGAGCUACUUAUAUUUUCUGAGGCAAUUCGUAGGACCUCGUCUUCUUGAUUACUUAUAUUUCGAAGUCCGACUCACACAUGAAUGAACAAAUUAGACGUGAUAGACUAUUGUUAUAUCGAUAAAUCAUUUCAUAUUGGGCUUAUUCAUUGGACGUGGCUUGGACGAGGCUCAUUAGCUCACCAAGUCCACCAGACCCGUCUUUAUUUUCCAUAUAUAUGAUAAUCCAUUUCAUUUUCAGGUAUGUUCACAACCCUAGCCAAUUUACCCUCCCGAC